UUAUUGCUUGUUCCACCAGGCCAUGUUUGUGUUCCUAUUGACCCCAGACGCUGUGAAGAAUUUGAUCCUACAACUGUACCAACCCUUUCCACGCUUCUGGAAGAACUCAACAUGGGCGGUUCAAGAGUUGAAAUUGAUAAUGAAUUGGAUAGAACUUCACUUGGCAAAUCAAUCAGGUUUUUCAGAUCAUCCUUCUUGGAGCCUCUAUUGAAAUCUUGCAACGUUCACUUCAUCUUCUUUCAUUUUAUUUCU
Telopea speciosissima is the source of this 252-nucleotide long non-coding RNA. RefSeq lists it as uncharacterized. The record is from RefSeq and is a predicted model, not a curated record. The transcript is spliced from 3 exons. NCBI's taxonomy places the organism in Eukaryota, Viridiplantae, Streptophyta, Magnoliopsida, Proteales, Proteaceae.